Molecule: ribosomal RNA, 110 nt
Filed under: Lysinibacillus fusiformis
Lineage: Bacteria; Bacillati; Bacillota; Bacilli; Caryophanales; Bacillaceae
Description: partial 23S ribosomal RNA
Rfam family: Bacterial large subunit ribosomal RNA
Source: RNAcentral
UACGCAAGUAAGUAAGAUCCCUCAAAGACGAUGAGGUAGAUAGGUUCGAGGUGGAAGUGUGGUGACACAUGGAGCUGACGAAUACUAAUCGAUCGAGGACUUAACCAAAA